GAUUGAACGCUGGCGGCAGGCCUAACACAUGCAAGUCGAGCGGAUGAAGGGAGCUUGCUCCUGGAUUCAGCGGCGGACGGGGGAGUAAUGCCUAGGAAUCUGCCUGGUAGUGGGGGAUAACGUCCGGAAACGGGCGCUAAUACCGCAUGCGUCCUGAGGGAGAAAGUGGGGGGUCUUCGGACCUCACGCUAUCAGAUGAGCCUAGGUCGGAUUAGCUAGUUGGUGGGGUAAAGGCCUACCAAGGCGACGAUCCGUAACUGGUCUGAGAGGAUGAUCAGUCACACUGGAACUGAGACACGGUCCAGACUCCUACGGGAGGCAGCAGUGGGGAAUAUUGGACAAUGGGCGAAAGCCUGAUCCAGCCAUGCCGCGUGUGUGAAGAAGGUCUUCGGAUUGUAAAGCACUUUAAGUUGGGAGGAAGGGCAGUAAGUUAAUACCUUGCUGUUUUGACGUUACCAACAGAAUAAGCACCGGCUAACUUCGUG
Molecule: ribosomal RNA, 485 nt
Filed under: uncultured bacterium
Lineage: Bacteria
Description: partial 16S ribosomal RNA
Rfam family: Bacterial small subunit ribosomal RNA
Source: RNAcentral